This 1206-nucleotide ribosomal RNA is filed under the name metagenome. Its description in RNAcentral is "bacterial SSU rRNA". It matches the Rfam family "Bacterial small subunit ribosomal RNA", at positions 282 to 1498 of the family's 1533-position model. The record is from RNAcentral.
AGUAGGGGUUCUGAGAGGAAGGUCCCCCACAUUGGAACUGAGACACGGUCCAAACUCCUACGGGAGGCAGCAGUGAGGAAUAUUGGUCAAUGGGCGAGAGCCUGAACCAGCCAAGUAGCGUGCAGGAUGACGGCCCUAUGGGUUGUAAACUGCUUUUAUAGGGGAAUAAAGUGAGCCACGUGUGGUUUUUUGCAUGUACCCUAUGAAUAAGGACCGGCUAAUUCCGUGCCAGCAGCCGCGGUAAUACGGAAGGUCCGGGCGUUAUCCGGAUUUAUUGGGUUUAAAGGGAGCGUAGGCCGGAGAUUAAGCGUGUUGUGAAAUGUAGAUGCUCAACAUCUGCACUGCAGCGCGAACUGGUUUCCUUGAGUACGCAUAAAGUGGGCGGAAUUCGUGGUGUAGCGGUGAAAUGCUUAGAUAUCACGAAGAACUCCGAUUGCGAAGGCAGCUCACUGGGGCGCAACUGACGCUGAAGCUCGAAAGCGCGGGUAUCGAACAGGAUUAGAUACCCUGGUAGUCCGCGCGGUAAACGAUGGAUGCCCGCUGUUGGGCCAACUGGUUCAGCGGCCAAGCGAAAGCAUUAAGCAUCCCACCUGGGGAGUACGCCGGCAACGGUGAAACUCAAAGGAAUUGACGGGGGCCCGCACAAGCGGAGGAACAUGUGGUUUAAUUCGAUGAUACGCGAGGAACCUUACCCGGGCUUGAAUUGCAGAGGAAGGAUUUGGAGACAAUGACGCCCUUCGGGGCCUCUGUGAAGGUGCUGCAUGGUUGUCGCCAGCUCGUGCCGUGAGGUGUCGGCUUAAGUGCCAUAACGAGCGCAACCCCUCUCCAUAGUUGCCAUCAGGUGAAGCUGGGCACUCUGUGGACACUGCCACCGUAAGGUGCGAGGAAGGUGGGGAUGACGUCAAAUCAGCACGGCCCUUACGUCCGGGGCUACACACGUGUUACAAUGGCAGGUACAGAGAGCCGGUCGUAUGCAAAUACGAUCCAAUCCUUAAAGCCUGUCUCAGUUCGGACUGGGGUCCGCAACCCGACCCCACGAAGCUGGAUUCGCUAGUAAUCGCGCAUCAGCCAUGGCGCGGUGAAUACGUUCCCGGGCCUUGUACACACCGCCCGUCAAGCCAUGAAAGCCGGGGGCGCCUGAAGUCCGUGACCGCAAGGAGCGGCCUAGGGCGAAACUGGUAAUUGGGGCUAAGUCGUAACAAGGUA